Molecule: ribosomal RNA, 253 nt
Filed under: uncultured bacterium
Lineage: Bacteria
Description: partial 16S ribosomal RNA
Rfam family: Bacterial small subunit ribosomal RNA
Source: RNAcentral
UACGUAGGGUGCAAGCGUUGUCCGGAAUUAUUGGGCGUAAAGAGCUCGUAGGCGGCUUGUCGCGUCGGCUGUGAAAACCUGGGGCUCAACCCCGGGCCUGCAGACGAUACGGGCAAGCUAGAAUUCGGUAGGGGAGACUGGAAUUCCUGGUGUAGCGGUGAAAUGCGCAGAUAUCAGGAGGAACACCGGUGACGAAGGCGGGUCUCUGGGCCGAUAUUGACGCUGAGGAGCGAAAGCGUGGGGAGCGAACAGG